RNAcentral lists this ribosomal RNA (536 nucleotides) under uncultured bacterium. RNAcentral's name for it is "bacterial SSU rRNA". It matches the Rfam family "Bacterial small subunit ribosomal RNA", at positions 979 to 1509 of the family's 1533-position model. The record is from RNAcentral.
CCUUGACAUACUAAGAACUUUUCCAGAGAUGGAUUGGUGCCUUUCGGGAACUUUAGAUACAGGUGCUGCAUGGCUGUCGUCAGCUCGUGUCGUGAGAUGUUGGGUUAAGUCCCGNAACGAGCGCAACCCUUUUUCCUUAUUUUGCCAGCGGGUCAUGCCGGGAACUUUAAGGAUACUGCCAGUGACAAACUGGAGGAAGGCGGGGACGACGUCAAGUCAUCAUGGCCCUUACGGCCAGGGCUACACACGUGCUACAAUGGUCGGUACAAAGGGUUGCUACCUCGCGAGAGGAUGCUAAUCUCAAAAAGCCGAUCGUAGUCCGGAUCGCAGUCUGCAACUCGACUGCGUGAAGUCGGAAUCGCUAGUAAUCGCGGAUCAGAAUGCCGCGGUGAAUACGUUCCCGGGCCUUGUACACACCGCCCGUCACACCAUGGGAGUUUGUUGCACCAGAAGUAGGUAGUCUAACCGCAAGGAGGACGCUUACCACGGUGUGGCCGAUGACUGGGGUGAAGUCGUAACAAGGUAGGCGUAGAUGA